CUCUGAAAAUCUGAAUAAAGUGGGUUGUUCCAGAUAUUGCUCAGAAGAACAGCAUACUUUGAUUAAAAAGUUGACAGGACAGGGGAAAACAUAUAAAGGAUUGCAGAAAAUGA
This is a long non-coding RNA of Thalassophryne amazonica, 113 nucleotides long. RefSeq lists it as uncharacterized. Lineage: Eukaryota; Metazoa; Chordata; Actinopteri; Batrachoidiformes; Batrachoididae. The transcript has 3 exons. The record is from RefSeq and is a predicted model, not a curated record.